GACGAACGCUGGCGGCGUGCUUAACACAUGCAAGUCGAACGGAAAGGCCCUGCUUUUGUGGGGUGCUCGAGUGGCGAACGGGUGAGUAACACGUGAGUAACCUGCCCUUGACUUUGGGAUAACUUCAGGAAACUGGGGCUAAUACCGGAUAGGAGCUCCUGCUGCAUGGUGGGGGUUGGAAAGUUUCGGCGGUUGGGGAUGGACUCGCGGCUUAUCAGCUUGUUGGUGGGGUAGUGGCUUACCAAGGCUUUGACGGGUAGCCGGCCUGAGAGGGUGACCGGCCACAUUGGGACUGAGAUACGGCCCAGACUCCUACGGGAGGCAGCAGUGGGGAAUAGUGCACAAUGGGCGGAAGACUGAUGCAGCAACGCCGCGUGCGGGAUGACGGCCUUCGGGUUGUAAACCGCUUUCGCCUGUGACGAAGCGUGAGUGACGGUAAUGGGUAAAGAAGCACCGGCUAACUACGUG
This 468-nucleotide ribosomal RNA is filed under the name uncultured bacterium. RNAcentral describes it as "partial 16S ribosomal RNA". It matches the Rfam family "Bacterial small subunit ribosomal RNA", at positions 28 to 507 of the family's 1533-position model. The record is from RNAcentral.